AGAGUUUGAUCCUGGCUCAGGACAACGCUGGCGGCGUGCUUAACACAUGCAAGUCGAACGGACCUCAGACCUUCGGGUCUGUGGUUAGUGGCGAACGGGUGAGUAACACGUGAGCAACCUACCCUUGACACUGGAAUAACAGCUGGAAACAGCUGCUAAUACCGGAUACGACCUUCGAUGGCAUCAUCUGGAGGUGGAAAGCUCCGACGGUCAAGGAUGGGCUCGCGGCCUAUCAGCUUGUUGGUGAGGUAACGGCUCACCAAGGCUUCGACGGGUAGCCGGCCUGAGAGGGCGACCGGCCACACUGGGACUGAGAUACGGCCCAGACUCCUACGGGAGGCAGCAGUGGGGAAUAUUGCACAAUGGGCGAAAGCCUGAUGCAGCAACGCCGCGUGCGGGAUGACGGCCUUCGGGUUGUAAACCGCUUUCAGUUCCGACGAAGGUAACCUGACGGUAGGAACAGAAGAAGGACCGGCCAACUACGUG
This 486-nucleotide ribosomal RNA is filed under the name uncultured Propionibacteriaceae bacterium. Its description in RNAcentral is "bacterial SSU rRNA". It matches the Rfam family "Bacterial small subunit ribosomal RNA", at positions 8 to 507 of the family's 1533-position model. The record is from RNAcentral. Lineage: Bacteria; Bacillati; Actinomycetota; Actinomycetes; Propionibacteriales; Propionibacteriaceae.